GCCCAGCUGGCUCAGUUAGUAGAGCAUGGGACUCUUGAUCUUGGGGUUGUGAGUUUGAGCCCCACACUGGGUG
RNAcentral lists this transfer RNA (73 nucleotides) under Felis catus (domestic cat). It matches the Rfam family "tRNA". From Rfam's summary of the family: Transfer RNA (tRNA) molecules are approximately 80 nucleotides in length. Their secondary structure includes four short double-helical elements and three loops (D, anti-codon, and T loops). Further hydrogen bonds mediate the characteristic L-shaped molecular structure. tRNAs have two regions of fundamental functional importance: the anti-codon, which is responsible for specific mRNA codon recognition, and the 3' end, to which the tRNAs corresponding amino acid is attached (by aminoacyl-tRNA synthetases). tRNAs cope with the degeneracy of the genetic code in two manners: having more than one tRNA (with a specific anti-codon) for a particular amino acid; and 'wobble' base-pairing, i.e. permitting non-standard base-pairing at the 3rd anti-codon position. The record is from Rfam by way of RNAcentral. Lineage: Eukaryota; Metazoa; Chordata; Mammalia; Carnivora; Felidae. RNAcentral also lists the same sequence under 1 other name.